RNAcentral lists this ribosomal RNA (253 nucleotides) under uncultured bacterium. Its description in RNAcentral is "partial 16S ribosomal RNA". It matches the Rfam family "Bacterial small subunit ribosomal RNA", at positions 524 to 776 of the family's 1533-position model. The record is from RNAcentral.
UACAGGGGGUGCAAACGUUGCUCGGAAUUAUUGGGCGUAAAGCGCGCGUAGGCGGCUACUUAAGUCGGAUGUGAAAGCCCUUGGCUUAACUGAGGAAGUGCAUCCGAAACUGGCAGGCUAGAGUACUAAAGAGGGUCGCGGAAUUCCCGGUGUAGAGGUGAAAUUCGUAGAUAUCUGGAGGAAUACCGGUGGCGAAGGCGGCAUCCUGGACCGGCAUUGACGCUGAUGAGCGAAAGCUAGGGGAGCAAACGGG